Molecule: RNA transcript, 4470 nt
Organism: Lemur catta (Ring-tailed lemur)
Lineage: Eukaryota; Metazoa; Chordata; Mammalia; Primates; Lemuridae
Gene: CNNM3
Gene name: cyclin and CBS domain divalent metal cation transport mediator 3
Exons: 9
Source: RefSeq, a predicted model, not a curated record
GGGGGCAGCAGGCGAUGGCGGCGGUGGCAGGUCGGCUGGGCUGGUUGCUCGCCGCGGUCUGCCUGGGCAACGCCGCGGGGGAGGCAGCGCCUUGUCCGCGAGUGCUGGGCUUCUGUCUGGAGGAGGACGGAGCUGCGGGCGCGGGGUGGGAGCGCGGAGGGGCGGUGCGGACCGGCCCCGAGGCCACCUUCCGCCUGCGCCUCUUCGGCCGGGGCUUCGCCAACAGCUCCUGGUCCUGGGUCGCCCCCGAGGGGGCGGGCUGCCCCGAGGGCGGGCCGGCCGCGGUGCCCGAGGAGGCGGUGGCCCCCACGGGCGAGUGGCGCGCCCUGCUGCGCCUGCGCGGUGAGGCUGUGUGCCCGCACUCGGCGCUGCUGGCGGUGCGCGUGGAGCCGGGCGGCGGGGCGGCCGAGGAGGCGGCGCCGCCCUGGGCGCUGGGCCUGGGGGCGGCCGGGCUGCUGGCGCUGGCGGCGCUGGCGCGGGGCCUGCAGCUGAGCGCGCUGGCGCUGGCGCCGGCCGAGGUGCAGGUGCUGCGCGAGAGCGGCUCGGAGGCGGAGCGUGCGGCGGCGCGGCGCCUGGAGCCCGCGCGGCGCUGGGCGGCCUGCGCCCUGGGCGCGCUGCUGCUGCUGGCCAGUCUGGCACAGGCGGCGCUGGCGGUGCUGCUGUACCGCGCGGCCGGCCAGCGCGCUGUGCCCGCCGUGCUGGGCAGCGCGGGGCUCGUAUUCCUGGUAGGCGAGGUGGUGCCGGCCGCCGUGAGCGGGCGCUGGGCGCUGGCGCUGGCGCCGCGCGCGCUCAGCCUCAGCCGCCUGGCCGUGCUGCUCACCCUGCCGGUGGCGCUGCCCGUGGGGCAGCUGCUGGAGCUGGCGGCGCGGCCCGGGCGGCUGCGCGAGCGCGUACUGGAGCUGGCGCGCGGCGGCGGCGACCCCUACAACGACCUCAGCAAGGGCGUGCUGCGCUGCCGGACCGUGGAGGACGUGCUCACGCCGCUCGAAGACUGCUUUAUGCUGGACGCCAGCGCGGUGCUGGACUUCGGCGUCCUGGCCAGUAUCAUGCAGAGCGGCUACACGCGCAUUCCGGUGUACGAGGAGGAACGCUCCAACAUCGUGGACAUGUUGUACCUCAAGGACUUGGCCUUCGUGGACCCCGAGGACUGCACGCCGCUCAGCACCAUCACCCGCUUCUACAACCACCCACUCCAUUUCGUCUUCAAUGACACCAAGCUGGAUGCCGUCCUGGAGGAGUUCAAACGAGGGAAGUCCCACCUGGCCAUCGUGCAGAAGGUGAACAACGAGGGCGAGGGCGACCCCUUCUACGAGGUCCUGGGCCUGGUCACCCUGGAGGACGUCAUUGAGGAGAUCAUCAAGUCCGAGAUCCUGGACGAGUCUGAAGACUAUCGAGACGGCGUGGUGAGGAAGAAACCUGUCUCUCUCAUCGCCCCUCUCAAGCGGAAGGAGGAAUUCUCCUUGUUUAAGGUGUCUGACGAUGAAUAUAAAGUAAAAAUCUCACCUCAGCUGCUCUUGGCCACCCAGCGCUUCCUUUCCCGAGAAGUGGAUGUAUUCAGCCCCCUGCGAAUCUCCGAGAAGGUCCUGCUGCACCUGCUUAAGCAUCCCAGUGUCAAUCAGGAGGUGAAGUUUGACGAGAGCGACCGCCUGGCCGCACACCAUUACCUGUACCAGCGCAGCCAGCCGGUGGAUUACUUCAUUCUCAUCUUGCAGGGCAGGGUUGAGGUGGAGAUCGGGAAAGAGGGCCUGAAGUUCGAGAAUGGGGCCUUCACCUACUAUGGAGUAUCUGCCCUGACAGUGCCAUCCUCCGUUCACCAGUCGCCAGUGUCCUCACUCCAGCCCAUCCGCCAUGACCUGCAGCCAGAGCCAGCCGACGGUACCCGCUCUUCUGCGUAUUGUCCUGACUACACCGUGAGAGCACUCUCCGACCUGCAGCUCAUUAAGGUUACCCGGCUGCAGUACCUCAACGCACUCCUGGCGACGCGAGCCCACAACGUGCCGCAGUCCCCUGAGAACACCGACCUCCAGGUCAUCCCAGGCAGCCAGACCAAGCUCCUCAGUGAGAAGACCACUGCUGCGGCAGCCUUCCCAGUAGACCUUUCCCUCUUUGGCACAUUUGGAAACUGCAGUUGAUAAGUGACUGUGGACUAGUGAGCAUUUUUUGUUUUAAGAGCACACCCAAGGGUCCAACCACAGCUGGCCGGGCGUCCCAGUGGAGGAGAGCCCUGGGCGGAACCCAGGAGUUUAACUGCUUGCCAGGCAGCCCCGGAUAUGGGGAGCGGACAAGCAUGUGGGGAGCUGGAGGGAACUGAGCAGAAGCUUUGUGCCAGCCUGCCCCCACUCCUCCAGGCCACGUUUUAGAUGGCCCUUGUAGAUGUGGGUCCUGGGCAUCCUCAGAAUCGGGCAUCAGUGCCUAGCACCUUCAGCCGGCCCCGCCCUUCUUUAGGAGGUAGGGUCAGCAAGGCACAGCCCUCCAGGCCUGCUUGUUCUGGAAGGACCGAAAGGAAUAGCAUCAUCUCUAGUCCCCAGGGCCCAGCCUUCCCUGCUCCCCUGAGGCUGUGACAGUGCAGUGUAUUUAUACCUCUUCGGGCCAAGCCACCAAGUGAGUGCACAGUUACUGCCUUUAUGUGGCCGUGACCUGUACUCACUUUGCUUUUUGCCAAUCUUCUGCUGCUGGCAGCACUUUUUGAACAGAGAACACCAGAUUUGGCUGGGGGUUCAAAUCCAUGCCCUCACCCUUGGUGUGCUGUCUGGGUUCCCUGACAAUGCCACAUUUCAGAGCACGCACCCCAGCCUCUCCCCUGUGCCAAGCCAGAAGCACGGUUACCCACCAGUCUGUCCCUCUGGUCCUGCUCCCUCCUGUGGAGGUUGAUUUUUUGACCCCUUCCAGGGCCCCGAGAGAGUUGGCUCUGGUGGCGCCGAGGGGCCUGCUCCCUUGCCUGCCAUGCUGAGUUGCCACUAGCAGUAUUGUCGGUUUCUGUGUUCUAAGAGGUCAUGCCUGGGAGGAAAGGACCUUCUUGCUGCAUCUGAUCCUUUCUUCCUCGUGUGACCCCAGAAGAGAGUAUUGCCUGUUAGAUCUGCUUCGUGCCUUUCCCACAGGCCUCCGUGGAGGUGCUACGUGGCUGUAGCGUGCAGAGCAGCAGGGAGCGGGGACUGUUUAUGAACCAGGUGGACCCUCGUUACCUUUCUUUAAAAAAAAAAAUAAGUUUUUCUUAUAUCUCUAAAACAUUUCAAGUGCUUUGCCUUUUUUCUGUUCCUAGCUACUGGGUUUUAGAGAAGUGGGAAUGAGAAGGCAUUUGUCUUUUUCUUCUAAUUUACUUGUAUUUUCCUUCCACAGUUCUUUAGCUAUGUGGAAACUAGGGUAUCACAGGGACAUAGGAUCAUAGAUUGGGGAGGGAGGAGGAUUUCUGGAACUUUUCUUAAAGGAAUUUGGGCCCUUAUAAAUGGGACUGAAGGCCACAGGAACAGUGGUAUGCUUGUUCAAAAAUUGUCCUCAAGGAGUGCACUCUAAGAGCAAACCCAGGUGGGAAACAAAUACUUUGAAAUCGUCUCUCCAGAACAGUGGUUCUUAACCUUGGCUACACAUCGGAAUCACCUGGCAAAUUAAAACACUGAUGCCUGGGCCUGUCCCCAGGGCAUCUGAUUUAAUCAGCCUGGGCAUCAGGAUUUUAUUAUAUUUUCAGAAUGUUUUUAGAUUCACUGAAGGGUUUCAUACACCUUUCACCUAGCUUCCCCUAAUGUUAACAUAACCUUGGUAUAUUUAUCAAAACUAAAAAAUUAACAUUGGUGCAAUGAUACAUGAUACUGUUAAGUAAACUACAGACUUAAUUUGGAUUUUACCUUUUUUGUUUCCAAUAAUAUCCUUUUGCAGGAUCCAAUCCAGGAUAUCAAGUUGCAGUUAGAACUAUUGCUUUUUUCCCUAACUUUAGAUUUUAAAAUAAUUAGAUUCAUAGGAAGUUGCAAAGAUAGAGGUCCCAUGGACUGUUCGUUCAGGCUCCCUCAAUGGUUAUAUCUUACGUAAUUAGAAUACAGUAUCAGAACCAAAACUUUGACCUCUGUGCAAUGUGGUUGUAUAGUUCUACAUCAUUUUGUCACAUGCACAUUUAUGUAACUACUGUAACAAUCCAUACAGAACUGUCUCAUCACCACUGAGAUCUCCCUUGGACUACCCCUUUAGACCCCUCCCCCACCACCCCUUCCCCCUGGAAACCACUGAUCUGAUCAUCUCCAUUAUUUUGACAUUUCAAGAAUAUUGUAUAAAUGGAAUCAUACAGUAUGUAACCAUUUGGGAUUGGCUUUUUUUCACUCGGCAUAAUUCUCUGGAGAUUCAUCCAGGUUGUUUCAUGUUGUCAGUAGAUCAUUCCUUUUUACUGCCCCGUGGUAUCCAUGGUAUGCUCGUCCCGAUGAAGGACAUCUGGAUUGUUUCCAGUUUUUGGUUAUUUCAAAUAAAGCUGCUGUGAACAUUCGUGUA